RNAcentral lists this ribosomal RNA (482 nucleotides) under uncultured bacterium. RNAcentral describes it as "partial 16S ribosomal RNA". It matches the Rfam family "Bacterial small subunit ribosomal RNA", at positions 30 to 507 of the family's 1533-position model. The record is from RNAcentral.
AUUGAACGCUGGCGGCAUGCUUUACACAUGCAAGUCGAAUGGUAACAGGCCGCAAGGUGCUGACGAGUGGCGAACGGGUGAGUAAUGCAUCGGAACGUGCCCAGUCGUGGGGGAUAACUACUCGAAAGAGUAGCUAAUACCGCAUACGAUCUAUGGAUGAAAGCGGGGGACCGUAAGGCCUCGCGCGAUUGGAGCGGCCGAUGUCAGAUUAGGUAGUUGGUGGGGUAAAGGCUCACCAAGCCAACGAUCUGUAGCUGGUCUGAGAGGACGACCAGCCACACUGGGACUGAGACACGGCCCAGACUCCUACGGGAGGCAGCAGUGGGGAAUUUUGGACAAAGGGCGCAAGCCUGAUCCAGCAAUGCCGCGUGCAGGAAGAAGGCCUUCGGGUUGUAAACUGCUUUUGUACGGAACGAAACGGCUCUGGUUAAUACCCGGGGCUAAUGACGGUACCGUAAGAAUAAGCACCGGCUAACUACGUG